UAGCGUUGUUUAAAAUUCAUGAUGUCCU
RNAcentral lists this small RNA (28 nucleotides) under Bombyx mori (domestic silkworm). RNAcentral describes it as "ovarian small RNA-22456". Lineage: Eukaryota; Metazoa; Arthropoda; Insecta; Lepidoptera; Bombycidae. The record is from RNAcentral.